AGUGAACGCUGGCGGUAGGCUUAACACAUGCAAGUCGAACGGCAGCACAGUAAGAUCUUGCUCUUAUGGGUUGCGAGUGGCGGACGGGUGAGGUAUACAUCGUACUCUCCCUUUUCGUGGGGGAUAACGUAGGGAAACUUACGCUAAUACCGCAUACGAUCUACGGGUGAAAGCAGGGGAUCUUCUCACCUUGCGCGUCUGAAUGAGCCGAUGUCUGCUUAGCUCGUUGGCGGGGUAAAGGCCCACCAAGGCGACGAUCCGUAGCUAGUCUGAGAGGAUGGUCAGACACGGUAAAACCGAGACGGGGUCCAGACUCGUAGGGGGGGGGGGAGUGGGGAAUAUUGGAGAAAGGGCGAAGGCCUGAGCCAGCCAUACCGCGUGGGUGAAGAAGGCCAACGGGAUGGAAAGCGCUUUUGUAGGGGAAGAAAAACAACGGGUAAAUACCCAGCUGUUGACACGGUACCGAAAGAAUAAGCACCGGCUCACUGCG
RNAcentral lists this ribosomal RNA (490 nucleotides) under uncultured bacterium. RNAcentral describes it as "partial 16S ribosomal RNA". It matches the Rfam family "Bacterial small subunit ribosomal RNA", at positions 29 to 505 of the family's 1533-position model. The record is from RNAcentral.